UGUACGACGACGACAAAACUACAAAUGACCAAAUGAUCAGUUGGUGGUGUUGUAUUCGCAUAGGUAAACACACAAUCGUUUUACUUCGACGAGGGACGCGACUGUUUUUCUCCUAAUGGCGGCGGUUGAUAUGAAAACAACGUUAUUAUUUCACUCGAGGAAAACCGCACGCCAAAACACUAUACGUACGUGCGAGUGUUCACGAAGCCUCAUUAACGUUAUAUAGAGUAGUGUUUGAAAUGAUAACAUCUCGAAAAAUAAAUGUAGUCAUUAAACGUAUUUCCUACAAUACUAAUGAUCCGUCCGAUAAUCGGAGCGUAUUAAUUUACCACCAACAAAAAAACAAGAUGAAAUCAAAAUACUGAAAACAAAUUUUGAUUUGCAAAUAGCUUAGUCAGGUAACGUUAAAAAACUGCGACAAACAAGCUCAGAUCUACCUACGUCAGCAAGAGAAAAAAAUUGUCGAGUUCGAUUAAAGUAUUAUCAGUAUAUUGAAAUAAUAGUAAUGCAUAUCGCCGAGUUAAUUUUAAACAGCUCGUGACCUUUUCUAUGGCGGACAACCUAAUGUUCGAUUGAUAAUUAAUACUCCAGAAAUUAAUAAAUUUUCAACGUUGAAAAACUAUUGUGUUUAUGUACUCGCACGCACAAUGUAAUCAAACCUUAGAAACUGUUGGUAAAGAAAAUGCCAUACUUGUUCAACGUAGGGGGGGCACGAACAUUAUUAUCGCUCACUAACGUCGAUCAUUUAGUCUGAUAAGUAUUAUUUUUCAUGAUACACUUUAGUAUCAUAGCGUUAUCAGUUUUAAUUAUGAAACGCUCGUUGUGUUAUGCCUGUAUAGAAAUUUAUCGUCUUAUCCCAAGGCCACGGUAGUUUCUAAAAAAAUAUUAUUUACACUGUCGGGUGACAGCGAAUAAUAUUAUGACGUACUUUUAGAUCGGACCAUAUGCAUUAAUCGGUAUAGCAAAAACAAUGUGUUUUUUUCUAAACUUCAAAGAGUAUCAUAGGCCCGAAUAAGAACAAUAAAAAAAUAUAAUUAUUGCACACUGACCCGUUUCAACGAGUCCUCGCGACAGUUUUUACUUAUCACAUUGAUGUGUGACGCGUGUAAACCGUUUUAAUUGGUUACAACAAUAUAGUUGCCAGUAGAUGUUUUCGUGUGCCUUUAUUUUUCUACUGAAUUUCAGAAAACCGUCAGCAUUCAACCACAAGUAAACAACUUGGCUGUAACGAAAAUACACUUUUACUCUCAUUUUCCACUUUGACAGAUUUUCCAAUUAAUCGUUUUCAGAAAAUCGGUACUGCACACAGUUUUAUGUGGUUACCGUACUACCAGUUUGUCAGGUUCAAUGACCAGGUCGCACUAGCGAUUGUAAUUAGGUCAAUUUUCAUCGAAAACAAAAAAGUAAUAAAAAUUUGUUGCCGACAAUCAGCAGUUUGUAUAUCAUUAACGCCUUAAAAAACAAUAUAUCUCAAAACGAGUUGACAACUUAUCAACCCGACGACGACUCAUAGGCUCAUCAUCGUAGCCAUGUAGUGCACAAAACACAAAUCUUAUGCUGUCGUUUGUGAUCUUAUCGCAUCACAACGUUAAUGAAAAGUCAACACUAUUUUUAACUGGAAGGAAAGAAAAAUAAUAAACACAAAGCAUUUUUGUCAAAAUAUUAUUUUUUUAUUAAUUUCUCAAUUUUUUGCAUAGUUUUUUUGUUCAUAUACUACAACAUAACAAAAUAAGAAAAAAAACAUGACAAUUGCUAUGAAGUGAUAUGAAUGGCCGGGAGGGUGUGAGGUCGUGCCACAAUCAAUAGGGAGAGUAGUAUUUUGACAUUAACAAAAAAUAUAUAUAAAUAUAUAAACAAAAAUAUAUAAAUUCUCCAACGCUUUUACAAUAACGAGUGUUGAGCUCGAUACAAGCGCAGUUAUAUUAUUUUUAAUAUAAACACAAUUCAAAGGUAAACUUAACUUAAAAAAAAAAUACUGUUAAGAAUACACUUUACAGUGUCACUGAGAUCAGAAAACAUAAUAUAUUAUUAUAGCCAAAAACUCUAUUUUAUAUAUAAUAUAAUUUUACAAUAUAUAAUAUUAUUUUUCUUGUAAAGAAUUUAACUGUUAAAUUUUGUGAGUUAAAGACCGUCUUUUAUGUAAAAAAAUUCACACGCGCUUUAAUAAAAGCCUACAAAAUUUGAAAGUUAACAUUUAAGGAAAAAGUAAAAAUCCGUUAUCACAAUAUAUAGGUAUUUCACUAGCCUAAUUAAUAAAAAUUAUUUUUAAACAAAUAUAUUUUAAUGCUAAUUAUUAACAUUAUUUUUUUUUGACUGGUUGUUUAAUAAAAUAAAUAUAUAUAUAUAUAUAUUUGAAUCUGUGUAUUAUAAUAUAUUAUUUUUCAAUUAUGAAAUUCUAAAUAGAAUCUACCUCUACACUUUUCUCAUUAAUAAUUCAUAUUCAUAGGUAUAUUUUGUACAUAUAAACCCUACUGAAAUUCAUCACAACAAUUGUGAGACAAACACAGAAAAUACUUAAAGAAAAGAUUUUUCAUUCAAUAAUUUAUCACCGAAAUCUUAUUGAAAAUAUAUAAAAUGUUUUCAUUAAUGUGAUGUCAGUUAGGAACACUUACGCUAAGGUUAACUUUUUUUUUUUUCAUUUAAUUAUUAAUUAUAUCGAUUCAUAUAAUAUUUUAAUAAAUAUAAAUAAAUUUGAACGUGAAAGACAUCUUGGCAAAUUUCUAAAAAUACGCCUAUUUAAAUAAGGAUUUAUAUUUUUUGAAAUUAUAUCAAAAUUUUUUGGUGCGAUAUUUUAGCCUACAUAAAAGUUAAUAAUUGUUAAAACCUACCAACUAAGUAUUAUUUUUUCUUUUGUCUGGACACACUAAUAUUUUGAAUGAAAUUAGCAAUAUAUAUAUAUUUUUUUAGUUUUUUUUUUUUUUUUUUACAAUUUAUUUUAUGUAUUAUAUUUUCAGAUUUUUGUUAAAUCCUGUCCACUAUUAUGAUUUUCACUUAUAAAAAAAAGUACGUACGACUAUGUAAAAAAGAUUUUAACUGUACCUAAUUCAAAAUCGACUUAAAGAAACUACAAUCUACAAUAUCUAUCUGUGUACCUAAUAAUCUUAAUAUUUACGCUCUAUAAAUAUAUAUUUAUCAUUAUGUAUGUAUAUAACUAUAAAAAGCCGACAAAAAACAACGAUUUAUGGGUAAAAAAAAAAAAAGGAAA
Molecule: long non-coding RNA, 3205 nt
Organism: Daktulosphaira vitifoliae (grape phylloxera)
Lineage: Eukaryota; Metazoa; Arthropoda; Insecta; Hemiptera; Phylloxeridae
Exons: 2
Source: RefSeq, a predicted model, not a curated record